CAGCAGCCGCGGUAAUACGUAGGUCCCGAGCGUUGUCCGGAUUUAUUGGGCGUAAAGCGAGCGCAGGCGGUUAGAUAAGUCUGAAGUUAAAGGCUGUGGCUUAACCAUAGUACGCUUUGGAAACUGUUUAACUUGAGUGCAAGAGGGGAGAGUGGAAUUCCAUGUGUAGCGGUGAAAUGCGUAGAUAUAUGGAGGAACACUGGUGGCGAAAGCGGCUCUCUGGCUUGUAACUGACGCUGAGGCUCGAAAGCGUGGGGAGCAAACAGGAUUAGAUACCCCGGUAGUCCCUGUCUCUUAUACA
This 301-nucleotide ribosomal RNA is filed under the name uncultured bacterium. RNAcentral's name for it is "partial 16S ribosomal RNA". It matches the Rfam family "Bacterial small subunit ribosomal RNA", at positions 509 to 808 of the family's 1533-position model. The record is from RNAcentral.